CAUGGUGAGACAUGAAUUCACGAUUCUAUCAGUUUGGGAAAUAUAAACAUCCUACGAUGACAAGGACUAGAAAAUACUGAUAAUAAUAAUUGUUUUAUUCAACAUGGCAAUACAGCAGAUGACUCAAGGAAUGCUGAGACAUUUAUUCAUAUGCAUACAACUUUGGAAAAGUAAUGAACAUCCAAUGUUGAAAAUGAACUAAAAGAUACUGAUUAUAAAGAAUUAAUGCAAUAUUGCAAUACAGCAGACAAUGAAAGCCAUGGUGAGACAUGAAUUCACGAUUCUAUCAGUUUGGAAAAUAUAAACAUCCUACGAUGACAAGGACUAGAAAAUACUGAUAAUAAUAAUUGUUUUAUUCAACAUGGCAAUACAGCAGAUGACUCAAGGAAUGCUGAGACAUUUAUUCAUAUGCAUACAACUUUGGAAAAGUAUGAACAUCCAAUGUUGAAAAUGAACUAAAAGAUACUGAUUAUAAAGAAUUAAUGCAAUAUUGCAAUACAGCAGACAAUGAAAGCCAUGGUGAGACAUGAAUUCGCGAUUCUAUCAGUUUGGAAAAUAUAAACAUCCUACGAUGACAAUGGACUAGAAGAUACUGAUAAUAAUAAUUGUUUUAUUCAACAUGGCAAUACAGCAGAUGACUCAAGGAAUGCUGAGACAUUUAUUCAUAUGCAUACAACUUUGGAAAAGUAUGAACAUCCAAUGUUGAAAAUGAACUAAAAGAUACUGAUUAUAAAGAAUUAAUGCAAUAUGGAAAUACAGCAGGUCACUCAAGGGAUGCUGAAACAUUAAUUUCUAUUCAUACAACUUUGAGAAAAUUGCAAUACAGCAGACAAUGAAAGCCAUGGUGAGACAUGAAUUCGCGAUUCUAUCAGUUUGGAAAAUAUAAACAUCCUACGAUGACAAUGGACUAGAAGAUACUGAUAAUAAUAAUUGUUUUAUUCAACAUGGCAAUACAGCAGAUGACUCAAGGAAUGCUGAGACAUUUAUUCAUAUGCAUACAACUUUGGAAAAGUAUGAACAUCCAAUGUUGAAAAUGAACUAAAAGAUACUGAUUAUAAAGAAUUAAUGCAAUAUUGCAAUACAGCAGACAAUGAAAGCCAUGGUGAGACAUGAAUUCGCGAUUCUAUCAGUUUGGAAAAUAUAAACAUCCUACGAUGACAAUGGACUAGAAGAUACUGAUAAUAAUAAUUGUUUUAUUCAACAUGGCAAUACAGCAGAUGACUCAAGGAAUGCUGAGACAUUUAUUCAUAUGCAUACAACUUUGGAAAAGUAUGAACAUCCAAUGUUGAAAAUGAACUAAAAGAUACUGAUUAUAAAGAAUUAAUGCAAUAUGGCAAUACAGCAGAUAACUCAAGGAAUGCUGAGACAUUUAUUCAUAUGCAUACAACUUUGGAAAAUUAUGAACAUCCAAUGUUGAAAAUGAACUAAAAGAUACUGAUUAUAAAGAAUUAAUGCAAUAUGGAAAUACAGCAGGUCACUCAAGGGAUGCUGAAACAUUAAUUUCUAUUCAUACAACUUUGUGAAAAUUGCUAUACAGCAGACAAUGAAAGCCAUGGUGAGACAUGAAUUCGCGAUUCUAUCAGUUUGGAAAAUAUAAACAUCCUACGAUGACAAUGGACUAGAAGAUACUGAUAAUAAUAAUUGUUUUAUUCAACAUGGCAAUACAGCAGAUGACUCAAGGAAUGCUGAGACAUUUAUUCAUAUGCAUACAACUUUGGAAAAGUAUGAACAUCCAAUGUUGAAAAUGAACUAAAAGAUACUGAUUAUAAAGAAUUAAUGCAAUAUGGCAAUACAGCAGAUGACUCAAGGAAUGCUGAGACAUUUAUUCAUAUGCAUACAACUUUGGAAAAGUAUGAACAUCCAAUGUUGAAAAUGAACUAAAAGAUACUGAUUAUAAAGAAUUAAUGCAAUAUGGCAAUACAGCAGAUGACUCAAGGAAUGCUGAGACAUUUAUUCAUAUGCAUACAACUUUGGAAAAGUAUGAACAUCCAAUGUUGAAAAUGAACUAAAAGAUACUGAUUAUAAAGAAUUAAUGCAAUAUUGCAAUACAGCAGACAAUGAAAGCCAUGGUGAGACAUGAAUUCGCGAUUCUAUCAGUUUGGAAAAUAUAAACAUCCUACGAUGACAAUGGACUAGAAGAUACUGAUAAUAAUAAUUGUUUUAUUCAACAUGGCAAUACAGCAGAUGACUCAAGGAAUGCUGAGACAUUUAUUCAUAUGCAUACAACUUUGGAAAAGUAUGAACAUCCAAUGUUGAAAAUGAACUAAAAGAUACUGAUUAUAAAGAAUUAAUGCAAUAUGGCAAUACAGCAGAUGACUCAAGGAAUGCUGAGACAUUUAUUCAUAUGCAUAAAACUUUGGAAAAGUAUGAACAUCCAAUGUUGAAAAUGAACUAAAAGAUACUGAUUAUAAAGAAUUAAUGCAAUAUUGCAAUACAGCAGACAAUGAAAGCCAUGGUGAGACAUGAAUUCGCGAUUCUAUCAGUUUGGAAAAUAUAAACAUCCUACGAUGACAAUGGACUAGAAGAUACUGAUAAUAAUAAUUGUUUUAUUCAACAUGGCAAUACAGCAGAUGACUCAAGGAAUGCUGAGACAUUUAUUCAUAUGCAUACAACUUUGGAAAAGUAUGAACAUCCAAUGUUGAAAAUGAACUAAAAGAUACUGAUUAUAAAGAAUUAAUGCAAUAUGGCAAUACAGCAGAUGACUUAAGGAAUGCUGAGACAUUUAUUCAUAUGCAUACAACUUUGGAAAAGUAUGAACAUCCAAUGUUGAAAAUGAACUAAAAGAUACUGAUUAUAAAGAAUUAAUGCAAUAUUGCAAUACAGCAGACAAUGAAAGCCAUGGUGAGACAUGAAUUCGCGAUUCUAUCAGUUUGGAAAAUAUAAACAUCCUACGAUGACAAUGGACUAGAAGAUACUGAUAAUAAUAAUUGUUUUAUUCAACAUGGCAAUACAGCAGAUGACUCAAGGAAUGCUGAGACAUUUAUUCAUAUGCAUAAAACUUUGGAAAAGUAUGAACAUCCAAUGUUGAAAAUGAACUAAAAGAUACUGAUUAUAAAGAAUUAAUGCAAUAUUGCAAUACAGCAGACAAUGAAAGCCAUGGUGAGACAUGAAUUCGCGAUUCUAUCAGUUUGGAAAAUAUAAACAUCCUACGAUGACAAUGGACUAGAAGAUACUGAUAAUAAUAAUUGUUUUAUUCAACAUGGCAAUACUGCAGAUGACUCAAGGAAUGCUGAGACAUUUAUUCAUAUGCAUACAACUUUGGAAAAGUAUGAACAUCCAAUAUUGAAAAUGAACAAAAAAAGAUACUGAUUAUAAAGAAUUAAUGCAAUAUGGCAUUACAGCAGAUGACUCAAGGAAUGCUGAGACAUUUAUUCAUAUGCAUACAACUUUGGAAAAGUAUGAACAUCCAAUAUUGAAAAUGAACAAAAAAAGAUACUGAUUAUAAAGAAUUAAUGCAAUAUUGCAAUACAGCAGACAAUGAAAGCCAUGGUGAGACAUGAAUUCACGAUUCUAUCAGUUUGGAAAAUAUAAACAUCCUAUGAUGAAAAUGGACUAGAAGAUACUGAUAACAAUAAUUGUUUUAUUCAACAUGGCAAUACAGCAGAUGACUCAAGGAAUGCUGAGACAUUUAUUUGUAUGCAUACAACUUUGGGAAAGUAUGAACAUUCAAUGUUGAAAAUUAACUAAAAGUUACUGAUUAU
Molecule: long non-coding RNA, 3701 nt
Organism: Rhopalosiphum padi (bird cherry-oat aphid)
Lineage: Eukaryota; Metazoa; Arthropoda; Insecta; Hemiptera; Aphididae
Exons: 30
Source: RefSeq, a predicted model, not a curated record